CCUACGGGUGGCAGCAGUAGGGAAUCUUUCACAAUGGGCGAAAGCCUGAUGGAGCAACGCCGCGUGCAGGAUGAAGGCCUUCGGGUUGUAAACUGCUUUUAUAAGCGAGAAAUAUGAUGGUAACUUAUGAAUAAGGAUCGGCUAACUACGUGCCAGCAGCCGCGGUCAUACGUAGGAUCCGAGCAUUAUCCGGAGUGACUGGGUGUAAAGAGUUGCGUAGGUGGCAUAAUAAGUAGCUAGUGAAAUCUGGUGGCUCAACCAUUCAGACUAUUAGCUAAACUGUUAAGCUCGAGACCGUUAGUGGUAACUGGAAUGUCUAGUGUAGGAGUGAAAUCCGUAGAGAUUAGAAGGAACACCAAUAGCGUAGGCAGGUUGCUGGGACGGUUCUGACACUAAGGCACGAAAGCGUAGGGAGCAAACGGGAUUAGAUACCCCUGUAGUC
RNAcentral lists this ribosomal RNA (442 nucleotides) under uncultured bacterium. RNAcentral's name for it is "partial 16S ribosomal RNA". It matches the Rfam family "Bacterial small subunit ribosomal RNA", at positions 338 to 795 of the family's 1533-position model. The record is from RNAcentral.